UGUAGAAGUCGGUUCUUUUCAUCCUUUCCCAGCAGCAGGGUGAGUUCUUCAAACAGCCCCGUAAGCUGUUGGGUGAUGGACAGGUGAUGCCAGGAGACAGGGUGUGAUGAAGUAGCAUUCAGCUUGGUGGCCACAGCAACCUUGACUUUAACAGGCAGGUAGAUGGUGACUAAAACUGCAGGAAGGCUUCUCCUGAAGGACACUGGAGUUCAGAGGACAGCAGAUGUGACUGCCAGUCAAUGCCAGACACUGCUCUUCUUGGGAAGCCCAGCGUGCUGAGCGAACAUGCUUCACGAGUGACUUACUGUGUGUCUUUGCAGUUGGUUGUGAAGCUUCCUCUAGCCCGGGACUGCAUUUCAUCAAGUGGUUCAUUUGUAUCUUUCCUCACCUUCUUUCCAUUUUUUCCCUUACCCUCACUGUCCUGGGCUUGUAUCUUUCUCUCAUAUAAAGUGGCAGCACUUCAGGGGUUCUCGUGGUGGCUCAGUGGGUUCAGAACCUGACAUGG
Molecule: long non-coding RNA, 505 nt
Organism: Phacochoerus africanus (Common warthog)
Lineage: Eukaryota; Metazoa; Chordata; Mammalia; Artiodactyla; Suidae
Exons: 4
Source: RefSeq, a predicted model, not a curated record